GCAUUUGGAAGUCCACGGAAAGGGAAGCUUGACCCCGGUUCGGGGCGGUUUUCACAGGGAAGAAAAACACACCCCGGAUGGUCGGGCACGUAAGCCCCGUCUCGUCCUCCAGAUAUCGGCCGCCACCUUCACCUCCACCGCCCCGGCGCACGUGCGCGUCUCCAUCGUCGCCGCCUCUCCUCCUUCGGACACGACUGACCUUCCACUGGCGCCGACGAAGAAGACACAUAGGAAGAAGCUCACCGCCAAACCUCAUCCAGAUCCAGUCGCUACCCUCCGAAAGCCGCAUACGGAACGUCUCGUCUCUUCCUUUGGAUCCGGCAGCCGGUGCUCCUCCUCCGGAUCCGGUGGUCAACUCCAUCACCCCCAGCUCCACCUCCCUUAGUCCCCCUCCAUCCGCCCUCACCCACCGCUUCUAUAUCGCCACCUCUCUCGUUGUAGAAGACACUGAGGAUCUGGCCAUCAUCAUCCGUCGCCCCUCACUCGAUUUCCCAUCUGCCGCUCCCUCCUGGUCUCUGAGCCGCUGAUCGGGUCUCCGACGCAGGGAAGUGAAGCCGUUCCGCCGUGAAGCAGCGCCACCCCUUGCCAUCCGCCCGACCGCUGGGAAGCAGGGCCCACGUCUCCAAGCUUCCUACAGGAAGAGCCUGCGCCCCUCCCAAAGGACAAAGAUAUUAGGAUGGAUGAAGUCACACAAGCUGUUGAAAAUCUGAAGAAAGAAUGGAGCCAAGCUGUUUCACAGCUUGAGGAGAGCAUUGCUGCAAUUGAAUCAUGUGGAAAAACAGGGAAAGGAACAGAGGAAGCAACUUCUCUUCCAAGGUUGAAUGGUUCUGCACAGGAUGCUCUGCAGUUGCUCAAGUCCCUGCAGUUCCGGCUUGAUCUUCUAGCUCAGCAGCUACCUACUUUUGAUGAAGUGCAGUCUGGGCAAGCAACCUUAGGGUCGUGGGAUGAACAAUACAAGAAGUUGCGUGCUAGCCUGAGGAAUGCUAACUUACAAGCGAAAGAGAACAUUAGAAAAGCUGCUCAGGAGGAGAGGGAGCUUCUUCUAGGGGGUGGAGAAGAGUCAACAAUCCGUAGGCGUAAUCUCCAGACAAAGGUUGGGAUGACAUCUGCUGCUGAAAGUAUCACCGAGAGCCUCCGACGGUCUCGCCAGAUGAUGGUUCAGGAAGUGGAAAGGAGUGCAAGUACCUUGGCAACAUUUGAUGAAUCAACAAGUGUUCUCCGGAAGGCUGAAGGUGAAUAUCAAGGACACCGCUCUUUGCUAAUGCGUACCCGUGGUUUGCUCUCCACGAUGCAACAGCAAGAUGUUCUUGAUAGGAUCAUCCUGACCAUCGGCUUUAUCAUUUUCUCCUUGGCGGUUCUUUAUGUUGUCUCAAGACGUAUUGGUCUAUUGACGCUGCAAAGGAAACUGGCCGAUGCCAUCAGAUCCGGUUCAUUAUCAGCCGAUGACAUCGUAGCGAAUGCCCAACGUGGACCUGCCCCAGCAAAUGUUCCUGCUCCCAUCUACGAUGAACUGUGAUUCGUUUGUCCUCUGUAUUGUUAAGGGCCACUCAAAGGGCUGCCGUCUGCAGCGCUGACGACCGCGGCGUCGGAGACUAGCGUGCAUCCCGUCUCCUCGUCUGCUCUGUUCGUCUCCACAGCUUGUACAGGUCGCUGAAACACUUGGAACAAACAGAGCUUGCUUCUGAAGCCCUACACCUCUGAAGGAUCAGGUAUCAUCAACGAAUGUAUCAAGUAAAUUUACCUGACACUCCUCGACAUCGACGAAACAUCUUCUGAUCAGUUCAUUCCUAACUAUUAAAGGAAGUUUACGCUCUUCCAUCUACUGCAAAAUUCAAUUGGAAGGAUAUCUAUUGUAGAAUUAAUUUAGAAAGACUGCAUGUACUUCUAGAAUAGGUACGAGUUUUUAUUUCAGACAACACACUCACUUCUAUGUUUCUUCAAUGUGUUACUCAACUAAACAUACCAAGAAAAAAUGAUGAUAUUGCCAUAUAUUUAUGUA
Molecule: RNA transcript, 1999 nt
Organism: Zea mays
Lineage: Eukaryota; Viridiplantae; Streptophyta; Magnoliopsida; Poales; Poaceae
Exons: 11
Source: RefSeq, marked provisional